Molecule: long non-coding RNA, 784 nt
Organism: Cygnus olor (mute swan)
Lineage: Eukaryota; Metazoa; Chordata; Aves; Anseriformes; Anatidae
Exons: 3
Source: RefSeq, a predicted model, not a curated record
AUAUUUUUUCCAGAAAGUAUGUGUGCAGACAUGGGAAAUAGCCUCCCACGUGUGGGAUUUUGGAAGCCAUUCCCAUCAAUUGAACAAUAAACACUUUCUUCUCCCUUCUGUUUUUAGAGGUGCAACUCUUCCAGUCCAGCAAACAUCAAUCAGUUUGGCACAAGUGCUUUGUGAUUUUUCAAGCCAGGUAGGUGCAGACAGCAGCAACGCCGGCCCUGAGCCUUCUCAGCUGCACAGGCAUACCUUGAUCAGCUUCUCCUUGUGUGAUAGAUGCUCCAGCACCCUGACUGCCCUGGGACCCCUGCCUUGGACCUGCCCUGGUGUCUUACAGUGCAGAGGAAGGAGUUACAGAAAGCAGAGAUGCAUAAACCUCUGCAAAAGCUUAAUGUGCCAUACAUGGGACUUUGGGAAGGCUGCUUUGUAGCUGCUGUUGAAUCCCUAGUGAAGAAAAUCUCCACCUGCUGUAACCAGCUGUUACCAGAGCAGGGAAAGGACCAGCAGCAGCGUGCUCAAGAUGUGAAAGCUGCUUGGUUGGGCCGCACACUGGUGGGACCUGUGGUUACGUGCCUCUUGUGGGACUGCUGUCAGAAACCGUGUUGAAAAGGUGUGGAGAUGCCCUCCACCCAAACGUGCAGUGAAAUCUCUUGGUUAUAGAGUGAGUUAACACAUCUUAACAUUCAUUUGUAGCUGACAACAGCUAUGGGGAAAGAGGUGGGACUUCGUGGGGCUAGUGAGGAGAUGGCAUGUUGCAUUUUCACAAUUUCUGUUUUUAUGCAAGUCUGCA